GACGAACCGUGCGAACGUUGUUCGGAAUCACUGGGCUUAAAGGGCGCGUAGGCGGGCUGACAAGUCUGGGGUGAAAUGCCGCGGCUCAACCGUGGAACUGCCUUAGAUACUGUCGGCCUCGAGGGAGGUAGGGGCAUGCGGAACUGUAGGUGGAGCGGUGAAAUGUGUUGAUAUCGGAAGGAACGCCGGUGGCGAAAGCGACCUGCUGGAUCUCUUCUGACGCUGAGGCGCGAAAGCUAGGGGAGCGAACGGG
RNAcentral lists this ribosomal RNA (253 nucleotides) under uncultured bacterium. RNAcentral describes it as "partial 16S ribosomal RNA". It matches the Rfam family "Bacterial small subunit ribosomal RNA", at positions 524 to 776 of the family's 1533-position model. The record is from RNAcentral.